This 253-nucleotide ribosomal RNA is filed under the name uncultured bacterium. Its description in RNAcentral is "partial 16S ribosomal RNA". It matches the Rfam family "Bacterial small subunit ribosomal RNA", at positions 524 to 776 of the family's 1533-position model. The record is from RNAcentral.
UACAGAGGGUGCAAGCGUUAAUCGGAAUUACUGGGCGUAAAGGGUGCGUAGGUGGCAAGAGAAGUUAGGCGUGAAAGUCCUGGGCUCAACCUAGGGAUUGCGUUUAAUACUCUCUAGCUAGAGUAUAGGAGAGGGGAGUGGAAUUUCCGGUGUAGCGGUGAAAUGCGUAGAUAUCGGAAGGAACAUCAGUGGCGAAGGCGACUCUCUGGACUAAUACUGACACUGAGGCACGAAAGCGUGGGGAGCAAACAGG